AGAACGAACGCUGGCGGCACGCCUAACACAUGCAAGUCGAGCGCCCAGCAAUGGGAGCGGCGGACGGGUGAGUAACACGUGGGAAUAUGCCUUUCGGUACGGAACAACUCAGGGAAACUUGAGCUAAUGCCGUAUACGCCCUUACGGGGAAAGAUUUAUCGCCGAAAGAUUAGCCCGCGUCUGAUUAGCUAGUUGGUGAGGUAAUGGCUCACCAAGGCUUCGAUCAGUAGCUGGUUUGAGAGAACGACCAGCCACACUGGGACUGAGACACGGCCCAGACUCCUACGGGAGGCAGCAGUGGGGAAUCUUGGACAAUGGGGGAAACCCUGAUCCAGCGAUGCCGCGUGAGUGAUGAAGGCCUUCGGGUUGUAAAACUCUUUCGACGGGACGAUAAUGACGGUACCCGUAGAAGAAGCUCCGGCUAACUUCGUGCCAGCAGCCGC
RNAcentral lists this ribosomal RNA (443 nucleotides) under uncultured bacterium. RNAcentral describes it as "SSU rRNA". It matches the Rfam family "Bacterial small subunit ribosomal RNA", at positions 26 to 518 of the family's 1533-position model. The record is from RNAcentral.